Long non-coding RNA from Panthera uncia (snow leopard), 764 nucleotides. RefSeq lists it as uncharacterized. The transcript has 3 exons. Lineage: Eukaryota; Metazoa; Chordata; Mammalia; Carnivora; Felidae. The record is from RefSeq and is a predicted model, not a curated record.
CUGGCCAAUGGGGUGUCAGGGAAAGUUUGACGGGCAGCAAGGGCGGUCACGUGACCCAGCUCUGGCCAAUGAGGUGUAAAGGGGACGUGUGCUGCGUGCUGUCUUUAAGAGGAGGAUGUGCGGCCGUCUGGCCUGAGAGUUCUGCCCGGAUGGCAGCGGCAGCCGCCUUGUGACCAUAAAGGGAAAGAAAGCCAAGUGGAUUGUAGAGCCCUUGAGCUGAUCAGAGACGGGAUGGGACUCAGCAAAGUCCUAGAGCCAGAAAACAAAGGUAGAGAAGCAGGUGAACACCAGGUGAGAUGCACUCACGUCCGUUGUCUGCGUUUGAUUGCACGACGUCGUGGAGAGAGAAGUUGGCCUGCAUGGAGAGCAUACACAUGAAUCUCGGAGCCACCUGCAGUCACUGUGGCAAGGCCGUCCCUCAGCCAGCUGUCUUCAUUGCCUGAGAGAGCUUCUGACCUCCAGUUGCAGCAUGAUCUAGUGAUUUGGUUUGUGGGUGAGCACAGACACCUUUUAAAGAAGUACCUAUGGUUGUGUAUCAGGCAGGAAAUAAAGUCCUUUCUACCAUAGAAGGCUGGCAUGUUACAGAGCAAAAGUGUUUGUCACUCUGCUUAUGGAAACGCAGAGUAAUCGUUUAAAUAUUUCUUUAAAAGAAUGACGAGGGGCGCCUGGGUGAUGCAGUUGGUUAAGUGUCUGACUUCGGCUCAGGUCACGAUCUCACGGUUCAUGAGUUCAACCCCACAGCGGGCUCUCUGCUGUCGGCACAG